CAUCCAAUUUUUCUGCUGUCCUUUCGUGAAGCUGAACUCAGCUUCACAAAAUGUGAUAGGCUUCGGGGUGGGGAAUAUAAAGGAGAUUAUGGCAGGACGAAAAAAUAAUAAACACAUUCUUGCGUUGUUAGAGGAAGGAAUGAGUGGACUGUUACAUUUAAAAUGACUGAACCAAAAUACCUCAUUAUUAGAAUGACCUCACUGAGCAAACCACCUGCUGUGUGUGAAUGAACGCGUACACUACAGUACAGGAAACAAUGAGGAGCCGUUGCUUUCCCCUUAACUGCCCACGCUCUCAAUAAUUGGACACACAUUGCUUGUGGGAGCCACAAUAUGGGGGGUCUGAUGAGCAACACACACACACAACACACACACACACACACACACACACACACACACACACACACACACACACACACACACUACCACACACA
Gadus morhua (Atlantic cod) is the source of this 434-nucleotide long non-coding RNA. RefSeq lists it as uncharacterized. The transcript has 2 exons. NCBI's taxonomy places the organism in Eukaryota, Metazoa, Chordata, Actinopteri, Gadiformes, Gadidae. The record is from RefSeq and is a predicted model, not a curated record.